Molecule: long non-coding RNA, 964 nt
Filed under: Linum usitatissimum (flax)
Lineage: Eukaryota; Viridiplantae; Streptophyta; Magnoliopsida; Malpighiales; Linaceae
Description: long non-coding RNA (LUSI_LNC005881)
Source: RNAcentral
CGAAGCACUUUGUGUAAUGAAUUUAAUUGAGUUUUCCGUUGCACACUUUAAUGACACCAGUAUUUUUACUUUAUGCAAUUCCGUUGUCACUGUUGUGACUUUAUCGUGGAGGAUAUAAACUCAACAGUCUGAAUAAACAAGCUAACCCUUGUUGCUCCAAUUUUCUCCCAACCUCAAAUUCUCUUUUCUUCCUUUGUGUUCAUCAUCGAUUUGCUCGUAAUCCAAUACAAGGUCUUAUAUCCCGACCAUGACUGUGCAGGUCAGUUGAAAUAUAGGAUAAAUUUGACGCUUUGACAAGUAUGAGCUAGAUUUUGUAAUGCUUCAAAGUGAUUUUUGUAAUCAUCACUAUAUUACAUUUGAAAAUCAGUGACAUGGACAUGCAUUUAUAACUACGAGGCACUGAAUUUAUUUAUCCAUCUCGUGAUUGAUGUUUUGUUGAUUAAUUUUUGUCAAAAUUAAUGUUUCUAAACUGUUUCCGUCAACUUCAUUUGUCUUUGGUAAUCUUUCUUUGUUUUAUUCUAAUAUCUGAAAAUGAUAUAUUUGCCCAAAUUUCGUGCCGGCCCGGGCGGCAGGAAUUCAAUUGGCUACUGGGCAAAGCAUAGACGUUGAGUUUAAUGCAAACCAUUUAUUUAUUAUUAUUAUUAUUAUUAUUAUGGCAUGACACAACACAAGUCACAAGGGGCAUGCAUGGACAAAGAUAUAAUGACAAGGGACAAGAAUGGUACAACAUGGUGCCUACUCCACGUGUCACCAGACAUGAUGUAUAGAGGACCACUUAAUUAGCAUGGGAAACCAAGGAAAGAUUGUGUUGGGUGGGUUAUACACAUAGUUGGAUAUUUCACGGCUAGUUAACAAAGGUGGUCCCUUAGGUUAUGUAUUGAAUGAGUUUAUACUGUUUUUUUAUAAAGUAUUAUGAUUUAAAACAUCAUAAUUAAGUUUGGAUUAUGCUCGUUAGUUCAAUCCA